This is a long non-coding RNA of Salvia splendens (bonfire salvia), 2138 nucleotides long. RefSeq lists it as uncharacterized. The transcript is spliced from 4 exons. The record is from RefSeq and is a predicted model, not a curated record. NCBI's taxonomy places the organism in Eukaryota, Viridiplantae, Streptophyta, Magnoliopsida, Lamiales, Lamiaceae.
UGCGCAUAAAUCCCCUUUUCAUCGGAAUUGUUGUUUCAUAUCUAACUUAGUCCUUUUACCACUAUACAGAAUCGUCUCUCUCUCUCUCUCUCUCGUUGCAGCUUGCAGCAAUAUGAUAUUGUUGUGCUGGAAAUUGGAAAGUUUAGCUCGCUAGAUCUGAAUUUCAACUUCUUGUAAUUGUUAUUAUAUAGAACCCCUUCCCAUUUGGUAUUCUUGUACCAAUUAGAUCCCUUUUGAUGUGGGAUUCUCUCAUACAUCCCAAAAUCGACGGAAAAAUCUAGUCUUUCUUGAUUCUUGAGGUGCUGUCCUGAAAAAAAGGAAAUGGUAGCUGCUAAUAUGGGCACACUGUAGUAUGUGGUGGAUCAUGUGUAUGGUGCAUUACUGCACAGAACAAGGAUUAGCCCUCCAUUUUUCUCGAGGGGAUGGGGCGGCACCAAGCUUGAGCUCUUGGAGAGGAUGAUAGAUCUAAUGUUUCCUGAGAAAGAAGGUCAGAAUUGGCCUCCUGCUUUGGGUGGGAUUAUAAGACUGCUUGUUUGAGAGAAGGGGUGUUUAUUUAAGAUGCAUUGCCUCCCGAGAGCUAAGGAUGGCAUGUGUUGUUCAUCUUGCUGGUAUUUUCAUUUCUUUGCAUUGGGAUGCUGUGAUGUGUUGUGGAAACUUAUUGGAUUUUGGAAUUGGUUUGUUUUGAGUAUUGUGUUGCUAGUCCUGCCUUCUCUCUCUGUGUGUUGAGUAAUGGUUAUUGUCUUUACCUAGAACCUAGUGUGUGUGUAUUUGGCUUGGAAAUUGUCACUAGACGAAGCCUUUGAAUCAGACGAUGGUGUUGGAUUUAGAGCUGUGUCAUAGUUCAUUAAGGGGGCGUUUAUUUUUUAGGAUUAGUCUUUGAUAGACUGCAGUAGGUCAAUCCAUUGUUUAUGAAGGUGGAUUGGAACUUUGGGAUAUUCCAAGGCCUUUGAUCAUUUGAGCUAAUUUUGCUUAUUGAUUUGGAAAUGGUUGUGUGUUUGAGUAUUGGUGAUUUCUUUACCAGUGGAAACCUCUGAAUUGAAUGAUGGAGCUGGACUUAAAAUUAAGUCAUACUUGAUUAAGUGUAUGCAGCUAUUGAAGGGUCGUUGGUGGUGAUUGUCUUGACGAAGAUGUUAAUAAGAUUUGCAAAGGGAACUAAGUGGUCGUAGCCUUGGUUAUGAGUGUGUCCACAACUUGGUAUGCUGACAUUUGCAUAUGUGUAGGUGAUCUCAAAUAUUGAAACACAAGAGAAGGUUAUAGAGUUGAGAUUUUUUCUUUUCUUCGCUUCUAUUUUCAGCGCAACUAAUUAACUUGUGUGAACAUUGAUAUAUGCAAUUGGUCUGAUUGUGAUAGAAAGAAUGAGGGGGCAUUUACUCUGAGCAGUAAGAUGGUUAGAUAAAGCCAUCCAAACUAAUCUACGGCUUAAUACAACGGAUUGAUUGAUUUUGAUCUCAUUUGACCAUCCGAUCAUUUAAUCUUAUGUUUUAUCAAUCUAUCCAAAGAUUAUAUGGAUUGGAUACAUUGGAACUAUGACGAUAAUGUGAGGCAUAUGUCCUUUCAUUUCAGGGACAGGAGACCAUUCGUUUGAGCGGAGGUUACGUCUUGGUUGGCCACUGCUGAAGAAAAACAUAGCAACUAUGGUGCUUGAGAGACCUUUUCUAUGGAAGAAGGCACCCUUUGCAGCAGUAUGGUACAAAGCUGUUGUAUGUUAGUGAUUUGCUCCUAUUAGGAAGAGCCACCGUCGAAGAGGCUUGUAGCCUUCUGCAUUGGUUAGACUACGAAGCUGGUUUUGGUAGGCUUAGUAUGAGACGAUGGGUAUAUCCCGAAACACUCUGUGUUGGAGCUUCAGAAGGCAUGGCCAGGGUCUGAAGUAAGGUGGGUUUCUGGCGGCCACGUCUGGUCUUUCCUUCUCCACAAUGGGGAAUUCCGUAGAGCCAUUGUGGACGGACUUGCUAGACUGCAACGGAAGGAAUCUCCUUCAUGAUACUGUACACGCGAUUAGGAUAAUCGGACACUGCAUUUCUCCGGUGCCGGCUUCAGUCAUGGCGGGGGCGGGUGAGCCAGAGGGAGCUGAGGGCGCGGAGGCGGUGGAAGUAUUCUCCGAUGGCCAGAAAGCACCGCGCUGCUUGGCGGGUCGUCAG